RNAcentral lists this ribosomal RNA (570 nucleotides) under uncultured bacterium. Its description in RNAcentral is "bacterial SSU rRNA". It matches the Rfam family "Bacterial small subunit ribosomal RNA", at positions 338 to 917 of the family's 1533-position model. The record is from RNAcentral.
CCUACGGGAGGCAGCAGUGGGGAAUAUUGGGCAAUGGAGGAAACUCUGACCCAGCGACGCCGCGUGCGGGAUGAAGGCCUUCGGGUUGUAAACCGCUUUCAGUAGGGAAGAAGCGAAAGUGACGGUACCUACAAAAGAAGCACCGGCUAACUAUGUGCCAGCAGCCGCGGUAAUACAUAGGGUGCAAGCGUUGUCCGGAAUUAUUGGGCGUAAAGAGCUCGUAGGUCGUUUGUUACGUCGGAUGUGAAAACCUGAGGCUCAACCUCAGGCCUGCAUUCGAUACGGGCAAACUAGAGUUUGGUAGGGGAGACUGGAAUUCCUGGUGUAGCGGUGGAAUGCGCAGAUAUCAGGAGGAACACCAAUGGCGAAGGCAGGUCUCUGGGCCAAUACUGACACUGAGGAGCGAAAGUCUGGGGAGCGAACAGGAUUAGAUACCCUGGUAGUCCAGACCGUAAACGGUGGGGCACUAGUUGUGGGAACCUUCCACGGUUUCUGCGACGCAGCUAACGCAUUAAGUGCCCCGCCUGGGGAGUACGAUCGCAAGAUUAAAACUCAAAUGAAAUUGAACGG